AGUGAACGCUGGCGGUAGGCCUAACACAUGCAAGUCGAACGGCAGCACAGUAAGAGCUUGCUCUUACGGGUGGCGAGUGGCGGACGGGUGAGGAAUACAUCGGAAUCUACUUUUUCGUGGGGGAUAACGUAGGGAAACUUACGCUAAUACCGCAUACGACCUACGGGUGAAAGCAGGGGAUCUUCGGACCUGGCGCGAUUGAAUGAGCCGCUGUCGGAUUAGCUAGUUGGCGGGGUAAAGGCCCACCAAGGCGACGAUCCGUAGCUGGUCUGUGAGGAUGAUCGGCCACAUUGGAGCUUGAACACGGUCCUUGGUCCUGCGAGAGGCCGCAGUGUGGAAUAUUAGGCAGUAGGCGCAAGCCUUGUACAGCCAGACCACGUGGGUGAAGAAGACCUUCGGGUUGUAAUGACCUUUUUUUGGUUAAGAAAAGCAGCAGGUUGAGACCACGCGGUACUGACGGUAACCAGUGAAUAAGCACCGGCUAACUACGUG
RNAcentral lists this ribosomal RNA (492 nucleotides) under uncultured bacterium. RNAcentral's name for it is "partial 16S ribosomal RNA". It matches the Rfam family "Bacterial small subunit ribosomal RNA", at positions 29 to 507 of the family's 1533-position model. The record is from RNAcentral.